RNAcentral lists this ribosomal RNA (229 nucleotides) under uncultured bacterium. Its description in RNAcentral is "partial 16S ribosomal RNA". It matches the Rfam family "Bacterial small subunit ribosomal RNA", at positions 568 to 796 of the family's 1533-position model. The record is from RNAcentral.
UGCGUAGGCGGAUUAAUAAGUCAGUGGUGAAAUCUUUCGGCUCAACCGGGAAACUGCCAUUGAAACUGUUAAUCUUGAGUUAGGUUGAGGUAGGCGGAAUGUGUAAUGUAGCGGUGAAAUGCUUAGAUAUUACACAGAACACCAAUUGCGUAGGCAGCUUACUGGACCUACACUGACGCUGAGGCACGAAAGCGUGGGGAGCGAACAGGAUUAGAUACCCUGGUAGUCC